UUGUACAUCAUUCAAUUGAGAUCAUCAUAUGUAGAGGUAAAUUAUCCGCCAUAAAUCUGUCGGUCGCUUCGUGUGCGAUAAUAACGACCCAUUAAUUUUUAUUAUCUUUCUUAUCGCGACGUUACGUCCAGCCAAUAAGCGAGCGUUUCGUCGUUCAUUGGUCAAGUUGAUAGACACACGGCAAACGGCAAGACUUGACAAGAGACACUAGCCAACACUAGCCUCCGUCCGUACUCCGUCACUCCGUGUAGUUGCGUGUAGUCCGUGUGGCCCUUACCGUCUGAGCUGUCACAAGUGUCAUGUAGAAGAACGCUCCGAUUUUCGUUCGAUUCCAAUUGUCAAGCGCGGCACCGCGAAUGCGAUCGCGCGAGGAAUGAUACGCCUGUGCAUUGCUGUGCAUUAUGUGAUAACAGUGUACGAACUCACGCACGCGUUACGCUGGCGGUUUUGCGCGAGCGACUCUACGCUCCACGCUUGUAAACAUUAACGUAUAUAACCCACCGUUGCGUAUGUGCCAUACAGCGGGUCUUCCGUUAUGAAUGCUUAUAACAGAGGUGCAUCAGGCAUAUCAGGGAAUACCUUUGAUUGCUGGGUACAAAAGUCUAUGCAUGAUGAUUCUGCCAUUAUAAAGAUGCAAUACCAAUUCUGGGUGAGAAAGCAGGCCUUGUCUCAGAAAUUAGGGAAGAAGGAGGAUGAGUGUAUAGUUGCGUCGGAUGCAGAGCUGGACGCAAAGCUAGAAUUGUUCCGCAGUAUCCAAGAUUCCUGUUCCUACUUACAAAGGGUUAUCGAUAAAUACCAAGAAAGAUUAUGCAAUUUAGCUCAGGAGGAAAAUGGAAUGGGACGUUUUUUGAAAGAUGCUGGGAAGCAAGACAAAACUCGCGCCGGCAAAAUGAUGACAGCAGUUGGCAAAUCCCUGUCUUAUUCUGGUCAGCAAAGGCUUGCACUGAGAGCGCCCCUAGGCCGAUUGUACCAAGAGGUGGAAACAUUUAGGCAAAGAGCUAUCGAAGAUACGUUGCAAAAUGUGCAAGCGAUGGAAAAGGCUCGUACAGAGUACCGAGCCGCUUUGUCAUGGAUGAAAAAUAUUUCUCAAGAUUUAGAUCCAGAUACGUCCAAGCAACUGGAAAAAUAUAAAAAAGUUCAAGCACGGGUCAAGCAAGGCAAAAUAGUUUUUGACAAUCUGGCCCUUGAUUGUCUUCAAAAGGUUGAUUUGUUAGCGGCGGCAAGAUGUAACAUGUUCAGUCACGCCUUAGUUUUAUACCAAACUACACUCCUGAAUUUUGCAAAGAAAUCUGCACAAGCGUAUUCCACAAUAGCGAACAGCUUCAAAGGCUAUCAACGUUAUGACUUCACAGUUGUGCGAGAAUUGGCUGAAACCUCUAGUAAAUUGGCACAGGAGACUGGAGGUGACGACGAUUUGGAAGAUAAGGAUAGAUUACAAUUUUUUGAUCUGGACUAUCACGAUGACAUUGAAGAAGCUCAAGAGGCUACCACAAAUUCAAAGAGCACAUCGGAAAAAGACAAGAAAGAUGAGAAGCUCUUAGACAUAGAUAAUGAGCCAAAGGACACAUUAAUACAACUGAAUACGAGCACAAAUUCUUCGGAAAACGGAAUCAUGCAUAGUACCGAUGCAGAAAAUGAUAAAAGUCUCGAGGAGUUUUUUGGAAAUCUUAUCUUGGAAAAAGAUGCAUCCAAUAGUACUCAACAACCAGUUAUUAAAACAGAAAAAAUCAGUCAUACUGUAUUGGAUAAGACCUCUGAAGAGCAGAAAUCAGUAAUGGAUAUAUUUGAAGAGUGCAACACCGAUUUUAAUUUGGCCGAUCUAGCUUCCCUGUCGACGGAGAGUCAACAACAGCAAUCGCUAAAUUUACUGGUCUCUGAGAGCGCGGCGCUUUUUGACGAGAUUCUGAACGAUAAGCAACAAGGCGCGAACAAUGACUGGGAAGGCAUAUCACACGAUACUUUUUUACCACCGAAUAUUUUGAAACAGAGUUUAGGAGACGCGGCGCUAGGUAUGGGACAGAAGAGUAUCGCUAGUAAUGUGGACGACAAAAAAAAAAAUAAGACUGGAAAGCAGAAAGGUAACUCGUGGUUGGACUUAUUCGCAGAAUUGGAUCCAUUGGCUAACAAUCCAAUGGAGAAUCUUUCUGGUGACAGUAAUGCUUCUGCUUAAUUCAUAAUGCAUUUUAUCGCCCAUGAUUCAUUUGGUAUUUGUAACAAUAAGGAAAACUGAUCAAGCUAUGUUAUCAACGAGUGAUGUGAUUUAUUUUUAAUGGAAUCUUCAUAAGAAUCAAAACUCUUUGAACUACAUAAUUUUUCAUACAAGCUAAAAACAGAUACCAAAGAUAUAAAAUGUAAUGUUUAACAUUAUGCACUAGUUAUAUUUUCUUUCAAAUAUAAAUAUAUAUAUAUAUACAUAUUACAAGAUCUUUAAGAUAAAUUAUAGAUAUUAAAUUUAUUAUGGAAUUCUUUGUAUUUUUGAAGGAUAUAUCUAAAGGUAUGGAAGUAUACCGCACAAGUA
This 2518-nucleotide unclassified non-coding RNA is filed under the name Monomorium pharaonis (pharaoh ant). RNAcentral's name for it is "islet cell autoantigen 1-like protein, transcript variant X1". The record is from RNAcentral. Lineage: Eukaryota; Metazoa; Arthropoda; Insecta; Hymenoptera; Formicidae.